AACGAACGCUGGCGGCAGGCUUAACACAUGCAAGUCGAACGCUCGUAGCAAUACGGGAGUGGCGGACGGGUGAGUAACGCGUGGGAACGUGCCCUGAGGUACGGAAUAACUGCGGGAAACUGCAGCUAAUACCGUAUGAGCCCCGCAAGGGGAAAGAUUUAUCGCCUUGGGAGCGGCCCGCGUCGGAUUAGCUAGUUGGUGGGGUAACGGCCUACCAAGGCUUCGAUCCGUAGCUGGUCUGAGAGGACGAUCAGCCACACUGGGACUGAGACACGGCCCAGACUCCUACGGGAGGCAGCAGUGGGGAAUCUUGCGCAAUGGGGGCAACCCUGACGCAGCCAUGCCGCGUGAAUGAUGAAGGCCUUAGGGUUGUAAAGUUCUUUUGCCCGUGACGAUGAUGACGGUAACGGGAGAAUAAGCUCCGGCUAACUUCGUG
Molecule: ribosomal RNA, 436 nt
Filed under: uncultured bacterium
Lineage: Bacteria
Description: bacterial SSU rRNA
Rfam family: Bacterial small subunit ribosomal RNA
Source: RNAcentral